Molecule: long non-coding RNA, 986 nt
Filed under: Homo sapiens (human)
Lineage: Eukaryota; Metazoa; Chordata; Mammalia; Primates; Hominidae
Description: HSALNT0150035
Source: RNAcentral
GCCGCCUCUAGCCGCCGCCCCUGCCCCGCGCCGGCCGCGAUCCCCCGACGGGCGCGCCGGCCCCUCUGAGCCGGCUCCCUUGGAAAGAUGCCACACGUGGCGGUCGCAAGUUUAUUCGACUGAAAACGCCCCCGAGGCGCUGGGAGAGGAAACUGCAAGAGAGGUGCACGCCCUCGGCCGCCUCGCCGUCGAGCCAAAGCCCCAGGACAUUCACCCGAUCACCCCGACGCGGGUGGCGAGGGUCCCGCCGAGCGCCAGGUCUAAGAGACACUUUUUCCCGAGUCCACUGACGGCUUCUGAACCCCUGCUCCGGCCGGUCCGCACCGUUCCGGCAUUCUCUUGCUCAGUAACAAUUUCGCAGAAUCCCAUCACGUCACAAACCAAACCCCCUCCAAUUGGCCAGUGGGGAGGGUGAUUCAACUCUGUUUACUUUCUCCCCCUGCCAGUCAGAACGGCCUUCGGUGGAGAGGUGCGUCUAGAACUGAGGCGUGCGGCCAAUCCGACUGUUCCGUUUCGCUGCCUCGUGCUACCCCUACAGCCUCGAACACUGACAUUUAAAAGGGUAACAGCUGGGAGGCAGGGAAGGGGCAGCCGCACACUUUCGGAGUGCCUCGCGGUCCCGUGGCCGGUCCGGGCCUCCUGGCUCACGUUCCAGCUUGCGGAGCUUUGGGACACAUCUUUCCUAGUCAGUUGCGCUCGUUCCUAUGGCAAAAGAGAACUUCAGCUUCGGUUUUCCAGCUCCCAAACAGUUAAGUGACUUCCUGCAAACGCUACAGUCCCAGCAACCAGCCUUCCAAUCAAAAGUAAGUUGGUUGAUGUCACUGGCAUUGGCUCGGCCAAUCACAAGGGCGUUCCGAAAGCAAGCGCUCGACACUUGUAAACGCGAAGAGCUGUAGUGAAACUGGACACAUCUUUGUAUUUUGUGUUGCUGGUAGUAAAUUUGAGUUAUGGAUGAGAGGACAGGGGUGAUGAAUAAAUGCAGUGUG